RNAcentral lists this ribosomal RNA (973 nucleotides) under uncultured bacterium. RNAcentral describes it as "bacterial SSU rRNA". It matches the Rfam family "Bacterial small subunit ribosomal RNA", at positions 504 to 1482 of the family's 1533-position model. The record is from RNAcentral.
CGUGCCAGCAGCCGCGGUAAUACGUAGGGUGCAAGCGUUAAUCGGAAUUACUGGGCGUAAAGCGUGCGCAGGCGGUUGUGCAAGACAGAUGUGAANUCCCCGGGCUCAACCUGGGAAUUGCAUUUGUGACUGCACGGCUAGAGUGUGUCAGAGGGGGGUAGAAUUCCACGUGUAGCAGUGAAAUGCGUAGAUAUGUGGAGGAAUACCGAUGGCGAAGGCAGCCCCCUGGGAUAACACUGACGCUCAUGCACGAAAGCGUGGGGAGCAAACAGGAUUAGAUACCCUGGUAGUCCACGCCCUAAACGAUGUCAACUAGUUGUCGGGUCUUAAUUGACUUGGUAACGCAGCUAACGCGUGAAGUUGACCGCCUGGGGAGUACGGUCGCAAGAUUAAAACUCAAAGGAAUUGACGGGGACCCGCACAAGCGGUGGAUGAUGUGGAUUAAUUCGAUGCAACGCGAAAAACCUUACCUACCCUUGACAUGUACGGAACCCUGCUGAGAGGUGGGGGUGCUCGAAAGAGAGCCGUAACACAGGUGCUGCAUGGCUGUCGUCAGCUCGUGUCGUGAGAUGUUGGGUUAAGUCCCGCAACGAGCGCAACCCUUGUCAUUAGUUGCUACGAAAGGGCACUCUAAUGAGACUGCCGGUGACAAACCGGAGGAAGGUGGGGAUGACGUCAAGUCCUCAUGGCCCUUAUGGGUAGGGCUUCACACGUCACACAAUGGUACAUACAGAGGGCCGCCAACCCGCGAGGGGGAGCUAAUCCCAGAAAGUGUAUCGUAGUCCGGAUUAUAGUCUGCAACUCGACUACAUGAAGUUGGAAUCGCUAGUAAUCGCGGAUCAGCAUGUCGCGGUGAAUACGUUCCCGGGUCUUGUACACACCGCCCGUCACACCAUGGGAGCGGGUUUUACCAGAAGUAGGUAGCUUAACCGCAAGGAGGGCGCUUACCACGGUAGGAUUCGUGACUGGGGUG